This 638-nucleotide ribosomal RNA is filed under the name uncultured bacterium. RNAcentral's name for it is "bacterial SSU rRNA". It matches the Rfam family "Bacterial small subunit ribosomal RNA", at positions 11 to 650 of the family's 1533-position model. The record is from RNAcentral.
GUUUGAUCAUGGCUCAGGAUGAACGCUGGCGGCGUGCUUAACACAUGCAAGUCGAACGGGAAACCUUUUAUUGAAGCUUCGGCGGAUUUAGAUUGUUUCUAGUGGCGGACGGGUGAGUAACGCGUGGGUAACCUGCCUUGUACAGGGGGAUAACAGUCAGAAAUGGCUGCUAAUACCGCAUAAGCGCACAGAGCUGCAUGGCUCCGUGUGAAAAACUACGGUGGUAUAAGAUGGACCCGCGUUGGAUUAGCUUGUUGGCAGGGUAACGGCCUACCAAGGCGACGAUCCAUAGCCGGCCUGAGAGGGUGAACGGCCACAUUGGGACUGAGACACGGCCCAGACUCCUACGGGAGGCAGCAGUGGGGAAUAUUGCACAAUGGGGGAAACCCUGAUGCAGCGACGCCGCGUGAAGGAAGAAGUAUCUCGGUAUGUAAACUUCUAUCAGCAGGGAAGAAAAUGACGGUACCUGACUAAGAAGCCCCGGCUAACUACGUGCCAGCAGCCGCGGUAAUACGUAGGGGGCAAGCGUUAUCCGGAUUUACUGGGUGUAAAGGGAGCGUAGACGGAUGGACAAGUCUGAUGUGAAAGGCUGGGGCUCAACCCCGGGACUGCAUUGGAAACUGCCCGUCUGAGUGCCG